Molecule: transfer RNA, 72 nt
Filed under: Camelus bactrianus (Bactrian camel)
Lineage: Eukaryota; Metazoa; Chordata; Mammalia; Artiodactyla; Camelidae
Also listed under: 3 other names
Rfam family: tRNA
About the family: Transfer RNA (tRNA) molecules are approximately 80 nucleotides in length.
Source: Rfam by way of RNAcentral
GAGGAUGUAGCUCAGUGGUAGAGCACAUGCUUAGCAUGCAGAAGGUCCUGGGUUCAAUCCCCAGUACCUCCA